UGCACUGAGGCUGUUGCUGACCCGCGCGAAUUCCCCAAAUGUGGGAAUCUCGAUUGCAUAAUUUCUGGUAGUGGGGACUGCGUUCGCUCUCCCCU
The sequence is a small nuclear RNA, 95 nucleotides long. Its record names the gene U1. It matches the Rfam family "U1 spliceosomal RNA". From Rfam's summary of the family: U1 is a small nuclear RNA (snRNA) component of the spliceosome (involved in pre-mRNA splicing). Its 5' end forms complementary base pairs with the 5' splice junction, thus defining the 5' donor site of an intron. The record is from Ensembl.